Molecule: small nuclear RNA, 103 nt
Organism: Nycticebus coucang (slow loris)
Lineage: Eukaryota; Metazoa; Chordata; Mammalia; Primates; Lorisidae
Source: RefSeq, a predicted model, not a curated record
UUGCUUAGGCAGCACAAAUGCUAAAAUUGGAAUGAUACAGAGUAGAUUAGCAUGGCCCCUGAGGAAUUGUGACACGCAAAUUUGUGAAGCGUUCCACAUUGAA